Molecule: non-coding RNA, 709 nt
Organism: Phodopus roborovskii (desert hamster)
Lineage: Eukaryota; Metazoa; Chordata; Mammalia; Rodentia; Cricetidae
Source: the annotation of a RefSeq genome assembly
AGUGUCCUCUCCACAGUCACUGAGCACACAGGUCCUCACCAUGGGAUGGAGCUGGAUCAUCCUCUUCCUGGUGACAGCAGCUACAGGUGUCCACUCUCAGGUCAAGCUGGAGCAGUCUGGGGCUGAGCUGGUGAAGCCUGGGUCCUCAGUGAAGCUGUCCUGCAAGGCUUCAGGAUACACCUUCACUAGCUACUACAUGUACUGGGUGAAGCAGAAGCCUGGACAAGGCCUGGAGUGGAUUGGAAGGAUUGAUCCUGAAAAUGGUAAUACUAAGUACAAUCAGAAGUUCCAGGGCAAGGCCACACUGACUGCAGACACAUCCUCCAGCACAGCCUACAUGGAGCUCAGAAGCCUGACAUCUGAGGACUCUGCAGUCUAUUACUGUGCAAGAUACACAGUGUUGCAACCACAUCCUGAGUGUGUCAGAAACCCUGGAGGAGCAGGAGGCUGCCCUGGUGUCCAAGCACAAAUCCAGCUGGAGCAGUCAGGAGCUGAGUUGAAGCAACCUGAACAGUCAGUGAAGAUCUCCUGCAUGACGUCACAGAUCAUGCAAUGCAGUGUCCAGUGUGAGUUGCAGCUAGUGGAGUCUGGAGGAGGCUUGGUACAGCCUAGGGGUUCCCUGAAACUCUCCUGUGCAGCCUCUGGAUUCACCCUCAGUGAUUUCUACAUGAACUGGAUCUGUCAACCACCAGGAAAGGGGCUGGAGUGA